RNAcentral lists this unclassified non-coding RNA (217 nucleotides) under Hevea brasiliensis (rubber tree). The record is from RNAcentral. Lineage: Eukaryota; Viridiplantae; Streptophyta; Magnoliopsida; Malpighiales; Euphorbiaceae.
AAAAAAUUACACGAAGUUAAGGCCAAGUGAAAACUCUAAAAAUGCAACUCUUUGAUUAUUUUUAUUUUUUUAAUUUACUACCACACAACAUGUACAAAUAUGUUACACAUCAAGCUUACACAGGGUCAUGGAUGGGUGGUGGAUUUGGGCUAGGGAAUAAAUACGAUGGGAGGCACAAAAUAGUGAAAAAGAGAAAAAAAAAAAACUACCCAGUACA